Molecule: long non-coding RNA, 413 nt
Filed under: Homo sapiens (human)
Lineage: Eukaryota; Metazoa; Chordata; Mammalia; Primates; Hominidae
Description: non-protein coding lnc-TRIM16-6:2
Source: RNAcentral
CACUCUCUCCUCAGAUGGGCCUCCUCUGUUCUCUGCUUUGCGCUCCCUGCAAGGAGUCCAAUCCUCGAAGGUGGGAGAGUCCAGAGAAGAAAAGAGCCAAAUGGUUGUGGGCUGCACGUAGAUGGUGAAGGAGAAUCAGAGUUGAAAUGCAUAGAGGCUCUCUAGGACACAGUGCAAACGUGUAUCUUCAGUAGAGACGGGGUUUCUCCAUGUUGCUCAGGCUGCUCUCAAACUCCUGACCUCAGGUGAUCCACCCACCUUGACCUCCCAAAGUGCUGGGAUUACAGGCGUGAGCCACCAAGCCCAGCCUCCUCCACCUAUCUUUAUCCAGAUGCACAUAACUGUUAUCCUCUGCCUGUCCAGUAAUGUAUAUUAGAAUUGUGUUGGUAGAAGGGCUGAGGCAGGGCUUGCUU